This 9235-nucleotide long non-coding RNA is filed under the name Oryza sativa (Asian cultivated rice). Its description in RNAcentral is "long non-coding RNA (OSAT_LNC001686)". The record is from RNAcentral. Lineage: Eukaryota; Viridiplantae; Streptophyta; Magnoliopsida; Poales; Poaceae.
CCUUUCAGUAAAUACUUUCAGCUGCAGAAUAUCAACCAGCUUAUCAUUAGACUAAACUCCGAAGAACAUUUCAGCAGUUAAGUUGCCAAGUAAACGGCACAUGUGACAUGUUGUUCGCUUUGACCGAUUACUCCCACAGAAGAAAAAAGAAGACAUUUUUCUCACACCAGUACAUUUCAUACGAGCACGAUUGUCACCAAGCCAUCUAACUCAACUGCGUCAGGCUUAUAUUUUCAAUUAGAACAAUGGACGAAACAAAUGCGAAUGCAUUAUAUCAGCUGGCCAGUGGAAGGAAGCAAGAGGCAACUGGGUGCCAUUGAGUUUUGGCCUCAUGCAGAAGGAUCUUUUUCGUGUGUCGCCGGCUCCGCCAUUUGCUGUGUAUAUAGUGCACCUAAUGUUACCUGAUGAAGCUGUUAACAAUACCUACAAAAGGAAGAAGCCGGCCGGCCAUGUAUUAACAGAAAUUGGCCUUCCUGCCCCACUGAAUGUGACCGUGAAUUGCAUAAUUUGCGUUGCAUGAUGUCACACCGAAUCAUUUUUCGGUGUUUACUUUGUUGGAUCCAGCGGAGAACAUAAUCCUCUACAAAAUCUUGGCUUCCUGCUGACAUAACCCAAAGCUUUCACUGUCCUUGAGAAGCCUGCAAAACAAGAUUUUAUAUUCAUGUUCUAUUGCUUACAAUCAGAUUUCUAGAGCUUUUUCUGAAUCAAAUUUCUGGAAGAUGAAAAUUUGAAACAAGACCAACCAUGGAAGCAUUCACAGGCAGUUACUUAGGAUAAUAUGUCGAUCCAUUUUCUGAUGCCAUAUCCCAUCAGAAAGGUUGGCAUUGGCAGGCACUUUGACUUAGCCUGAAAACUGUUGUUUACAGCUCCAACGGUCCCAACUAUACAAGGGAAAACAGAUAUGAUAAGAACAGCCUGAGCGAUUAACACAGUGUCUGACAUGCAGGUACAGGACAAAAAUAUCCAAUCAAUGGCCGUAUCAAAAAAAUAAAUUAAGUAAAAGCACAGAAUAUACUGACCAAAAACGUAUAAAAGCCAAGAACGUCCAAACCAAGAAGUUCUGACUGGAUCAAAACCCAGAAGGUGUUCCCAGAUAAGGCUCCAUAGAUAAAACAGGCAAGAAGUAACUGCAAGUAAACGGUUUAUUAAAUCAUUUCACAUUUUGAUCAGCAACUGAGCUCUUCAGAGGUUUCUUUUAAUUAAGCCUCCCACUACAACGCAUACAUGCAUUUUCUAUGUGCAUGUUGCUUGGACCUGGUAAGCAUUCUCAUAGGCAAUGUUUGAUAAGAAUUCCCUUGAAUCAAGUUAUAUAAGGUUGUCUUGUUUGAUUAGCUAUUUUCUUUGCCUGGUUGCCAGCCUCAAGGAGGGAGACGCCAUUUGGCAUCUACUCGAGCUUGUUCACUGCACAGUGCUCUUCGACAAGAACAAUCAGCAGAUUUUGCUAUCCUCCGGUGUGAAUUUGAUUUGCGUGGAGGGUGACACCGUGUGGUACGAUGGUGGAGAUGCAGUGGCUGCUACUUCUGUUCAUGCUCUUGGUGAGCCUACGGCUAAGCUUCAGUCAGACAAAUCCUCAAGAUGGUAAGUCUUUGAUCUUUCUGCUUUUCAAUAGGUUACAGGAAGAAAGGUGACAUCUUUUCCAGGAUUUGUCACUCAGACUGGCCAUUGACCUGAAAACAAGGUGAGUAGGAUUAGGUCUGCCAGAAGUACAGCAAGAGAAGAAUCUAUUUGUGGAGCAUGAAUGACUAGAUGCUACAGAAAAACAAAAUCCUUAAAGAUAGCCUUCUGCCAUCAAUACUAUGUUCUCCUUGGGUAGUUAUGCAACAAAUUGUGAUCAUUUGGUUAUUUCCAUCUAAUAACCUAGGAAGAUUUUUUUUAUGACCAAAUUCAUAGUGUCAUGUACAAAGAAUAGUUUCCCAUGAUGAAAAGGGGAGCUGCAACAGCUAUAUCUCAUGCACGCACGAUCAAUAAUUUUAGAGAGAUGACUCCUUCCUUUCCUGCAGGAGCGAAUCCAUGAAAAAGCCAUGUGAUGCACAGGACAGGCGGAACUUUUGAAUCCCAUUAAUUUUAGCUAAUGUUAGAAUGUAAACAUAGUAUUAUAUCCAUGAUUCAUACAGGACACCUGGUAAUUUUUGUUUUUAGAUUCGCCCCUGCUUUCCUGGACCAUACUUUCCUGUGAAAUUUUCCAUGAUGAUGAUAAACUAAUGGAUGAUAUUGACCUAAUAGGCCAAGAUGACUUGGAUCAACCACUGGAGUUGUUGACACAUUUUGCUUGACUAACAUUUGUUCCAUUUAUUCUACAGUUUCUGCACUCCAGGCAUUGAUGAAGAAUUGGCAGAAUGAACCGCAAAGCUGGAUGGGAUCGACUGAUCCCUGCACCUCCUGGGAUGGAAUUUCCUGUUCCAAUGGGAGGGUGACAGAAAUGUGAGUGAUCAACUUCGAUUCAUCAUAUUUGUACUUAUUUUUGAGACAAGAACUACACCGAAACCUGGUAUUUACAGGAGAUUAUCAGGCAUUAAUCUGCAAGGCACAUUAAGCAAUGCAAUAGACCAACUUUCUUCUUUGACAUAUCUGUAAGUCCCUGCUUACUGAGUUUUGAACAAACUACCACACUGCAAAAUGCUUUAUGCUCCUGAUGUAAAAUAAACUACAUCCAGGGAUCUGUCUAACAACCUAAAUCUUGGAGGUCCACUUCCUCCAAGCAUUGUGAAUCUGAAGCAGCUCACAACUCUGUAAGAACAGCAUGUCACUAUAAGAAAACAUUUCUUCCUUUUUGGUCUGUGGAGAGGACUAAGAAAAAUAGGGGAAAACACUGAUUUAUAUCUUGGUUUUGUCAGGAUUUUACUUGGAUGCAGUUUCACUGGUGAUAUUCCAGAGCAGAUCGGAGCAUUAAGGCAACUCACAUUCCUGUAAGAAACAACUCAAACGUGGGCAGAUAUAUUGAAUGGACAUCAAUCUCUUCACGAUAUGAUUUACUUUAGCCUAAGAAAUGCUCUCAUGCAGGGCCCUGAACUCAAAUAAGUUCACUGGUGGAAUCCCCCCAACACUUGGCCUUCUCUCUAAGCUUUUUUGGUUGGACUUGUCAGACAAUCAGCUGUCGGGGAAAAUACCGGUUUCAUCAGGUUCAAACCCAGGGCUGGAUCAGCUUGUUAAUGCAGAACAUUUGUAAGUUCUCAAAUGGUGUACCAGUUCUAGAACAAAAGAAUCAAGAUAUACUGCUGCUUAAAUGUAUGGUAUCCUCAUAUGACUCAUACAUUUCCAAUCAACAGCCAUUUCAGUGAGAACCAGUUGACAGGCCCAAUUGACGAAAAGCUUUUCAGUGAAAAAAUGAACCUUAUACACGUGUAAGCUGCACACUGUUUGUUUGUGCUUGGUAGUAUCAUCUUGCCAUCACCUCACUGCCUUCAGUAAUAAUUGUCAGGAUAUUUGACAACAAUAACUUUACUGGACCAAUCCCAGGAUCUCUCGGGAGAGUCUCAUCAAUUCAAAUUAUGUAAGUACCUCGUAAUAUGAUUUACCCUAUGUUUUGACCCCCUUUGAACAGUUUCAUGUUUUUUUUUUCCUGCCUAUUGCAACAGCCGACUAGAUCAUAACCAAUUCAGUGGUCCAGUUCCAGGAAGUAUAGCAAACCUAUCUCGUCUGAUGGAACUGUAAGUGAUUACCAUCAAGGAACAUCAACAAAUAUUUCUUAUUCCUGGAAACAACAUUGCAAAUAUUUGUUUUUGUUUUUGCAGGAGCUUAGCAAGCAACCAACUGAAUGGGACAGUGCCAGACCUCACCAGUGCAAAUGCUCUCACUUAUGUGUAAGGAAGAAAGUAUAUGAGCAUUUAAGGUUAAUGAUUCUUUGAGUUAUGGGAAAUUUUCUUCCUUUUUACAGGGACCUAAGCAACAAUAACUUCAUGAGCUCACCAGCACCGCGAUGGUUUUCAACAUUAACAUCCUUGACUACCUUGUGAGUUGUCUGAUGACGAAAAAACAGUGAGUAUCAAAUGGACUUAGUAAGAUACAUCACAAUUAAUGUUUCUAUUCCUGUUGACAACUUACAGAUUUAUGGAUAGUGAUCAUCUUACUGGAACAAUCCCCAGUGCCCUGUUCAGUUUCCCGCAAUUGCAGCAAAUGUAAUUUCCUCAUGGAUCAUGCUACAGCUCUCUGAUAGCAUCUCUAGCUAAAAGUUUAACUUCAGUGAACUUAUGCCUUCUGAUGUUAUAAAUUGGAAUGCAGAUCAUUAGCUAAGAAUUCAUUCAGUGGGGAACUUAAUAUGAGCAGUAACAUCAGUUCACUACUGCGGGUUGUUAAUUUGACAAACAAUCAGAUCUUCAAUGCUGAAGUUGACCCAAGCUACACCGGCAGCCUCAUGUAAGCAUCAUCCUGUACUGUAUAAGGGUGUACAAGUGAGUGCAUGCAUUCUCACCCAACGUAUUCUUUCCUUGUCCAGACUAUCAGGCAAUCUUAUAUGCUUCAACAAUAUCAGUUUCUGCACACUCAAGCAAAAGCAGCAAGUGCCAUACUCAACAAACCUAGGUCCAUGUGGUGCCAUUUCAUGCCCCACUGACCAGUCAGCAAAUCCGGUGGCUUCACAGAACUGUGCUUGCGCCAGCCCCUUCCAGGGUUUGAUGAUCUUCCGAGCACCAGCCUUCUCUGAUGUGACCAAUCCCAAGUCAUUCCAACCUUUGGAAUUUACUCUUGUUCAGAACCUUAGCCUAGCUCCAGGAUCAGUUGCCAUUUCCAAUGUUGAGUUCAGUCCAGGGGAGCCACUAACAUUCACAGUGAAGGUUUUUCCAGAGAGCGGAACAAGCUUCAAUCACUCAGAGGUUAUCAGAAUCAGUUCUUCUUUGGUCAACCAAACCUACAAAGCUCCAGCAUAUUUUGGACCAUAUAGCUUCAUAGCAAGCACAUAUUUUGCAAGUAUGGCGUUGCUUAGGUCUGCAAUUUCUUUAGUUUGCUUUAUUUUCAAACAUUACAUAACUCAUUCAUUUCAGGCCCCAGUGGUAAAAGGUCGUCAAUGGGCAAAGGUGCAAUAAUCGGAAUAGCGGUUGCUGGUUUUCUCCUUCUUGUUGGCCUUAUCCUAGUAGCAAUGUAUGCUCUAAGGCAGAAAAAAAUAGCUAAGGAGGCAGUAGAACGAACUACUAAUCCUUUUGGUAAUGUGUUAUUUCAUCAUUCAGUAUCCAUCCAAUAGGGAAGUGUUAAGCAUGAUUGCUAAUCUGUGCUAGUGAAUGCUCUGGUGCCACAGCAUCAUGGGGACAAGGUGGUAAAGAUAAUGGAGAUGUGCCACAGCUGAAGGGAGCAAGAUACUUUGCAUUUGAGGAACUGAAGAGGUGCACAAACAAUUUCUCAGAAACCCAAGAAAUAGGAUCAGGAGGAUAUGGGAAGGUAUAUUGGUGAAUGAAUUUCCAUGCUAGUAUAGUCACAAAAAGAAAUAAGGAUUUCCAAAAGCAAUUAAUCUAUUAUCUUUUCUGUUAAAAGGUGUACAAAGGAAUGCUCGCAAAUGGGCAAAUGGCUGCAAUAAAACGCGCACAGCAAGGAUCUAUGCAAGGUGCAGCUGAAUUUAAGAAUGAGAUAGAACUACUUUCCAGGGUUCAUCACAAGAACCUGGUGAGCUUAGUAGGUUUCUGCUAUGAACAAGGGGAGCAGAUGUUGGUUUAUGAGUACAUUCCUAAUGGGACCUUAAGGGAGAAUCUGAAGGGUAUACUUUUCAAACUUCAUCACCACUACUACCCCCAUUUAUAACCUAUUUACAUAAUUAAUACAUGCUACAACAAAAGGACAUGGGGGUUCAUCCACAUCUUAACUGCAGGUAAAGGAGGAAUGCACUUGGAUUGGAAGAAACGCCUUCAAAUUGCAGUUGGCUCUGCUAAAGGUCUAGCGUAUCUUCAUGAACUUGCUGAUCCACCAAUUAUCCAUAGAGAUAUCAAAUCAACCAAUAUCCUUCUGGAUGAAAGUCUAAAUGCAAAGGUUGCUGAUUUUGGUCUUUCAAAGCUGGUAUCUGACACAAAAAAGGGCCAUGUUUCUACCCAAGUGAAGGGCACACUGGUAUGUACUUCUGGAACUUCAAAAUGCAUAACUUUUAUUGACAAAAAAAUAUUUCUAGUUGAUUACUCUUCUGUGUUGAUAUCUAGGGUUAUUUGGAUCCUGAAUACUACAUGACUCAGCAGCUAUCUGAGAAGAGUGAUGUAUAUAGCUUUGGAGUUGUCAUGCUAGAACUGAUAACGUCCAGGCAGCCCAUAGAGAAAGGCACAUAUAUUGUCCGUGAGAUCAGGACAGCAAUAGAUCAGUAUGACCAAGAGUAUUACGGAUUGAAGAGCCUAAUUGAUCCAACAAUCCGGGAUUCAGCAAAAAUGGUUGGCUUUAGGAGAUUUGUGCAGUUGGCUAUGGAAUGUGUAGAGGAGUCUGCUGCUGACCGCCCGACAAUGAAUGAUGUGGUGAAGGAACUUGAGAUUAUAAUACAAAAUGAAGGGGCACAGUUGCUAAACUCAGCAUCUUUAUCGGCUCAGCAGUUUGGAUAUGCAAAGGGUAGAGAUCCAGAUCCUUAUGGAGAUCAUGUGCCUAUCAAUGAUGACAGCAGCAGCAGUGCUUUUGAUUACAACAGUGUAUAUUCAUACUCAGUUGUUGAACCAAAGUAGAUAUGAUGUAUUGGUUUUGCUUAUCUCCUACUCAUUGUAAAGGACAAUAUGUAGUCUACAAUAUCAUAUUUUUUGUGUUGAUAAAAACCAAGGUCUGGAUAUUUUAUAAGCAUACACUGGCCAGAUGAAACAGCAGAGGAUGAUCUUUCUAUAGAAUCAUUCUUGUCAUUCUCUUCAUUGAAAACCCAAAAUAAAUAUAUUUUUUGACCAUUCGCAUGCAUGUCAAGAUAAAUAUUGUUUUUGUAAUUUGAUAUGUUUCCACUGAUGUUUAACUCAAGUAGUUACCAGGUGCACCUCAUUAAUUUUUCUCUAAACAAUCCUACAUCAACAUGAUGCCCUUUCAUAGCAUAAAAGUUAAAUAUUAAUGACAACAGUUGGAACAAUAACAGCCUCUGAUUGGCCAAUGGGAUUAAUGAAUAGCUGUGAAAAUGCUCUCAUUGUGGAUACAAGAUAGGAUUAGUGAGAGAAACAUUUAUUUAGAAUUUAUUUUAAUUGGUGGUGUCAUGGUUCAGAAGAUGCUGCCUUGUACAUAGGAAACAUCAUUUUUUAGAUUGAAUUACCAAUUGAAAAGAUGAUUCAGUUCCAUUACUAUUUAUCCAUCACAACGCGUGCUAACUGCUCAGUGUGCCUUUUCUGGGAGAAAAAAAGUACAGGUUGAAUUCUAAUCCCCACUGAAAAUGUCUAUUGUGCUAAAUUAAGGCAACCUUACACCCAAUCAAGGAAAUGAGAUAAUUCAAAGCUGCAUUCUCAAAGUUAAUGAUACAGGAACUUUACCUCUUAACGGUUAAAACAAGGAAGUACCUUUCAUUGACAUCGAGAUUCCAGUCCACACUAACAUAUGCUGUGACAAAAGGAAUAUGAUUUUAUUGACUACUUAACAAGAAAUAUAUAUUCCAAUAUAAGGUAACAAGCAUCAUUUUCAUCACUAUAAACAUGUGCAGACGAACAUAUUUCAACACACACACACACACAUAUAAAAGAAAAAACGAAGAACCAUCUGUCCCAAGCACAUAUGAAAAUUUUAUUUCAUAUCAGGUCACCAAAGAUUAAAGCAGAGUUAAGACAUGAGAAGGUUCUCACAUAACUACAUUUCGGAACAGCCUGCAUAGGAAGGUUUAAGAAAUAACAUCUGUGUGAGAGUCAGUUAUCCUUAUACAACUUGGUUGUCUUGCCUUUCCAUUGCCCUUCACUUUUCCUCCAGCUCUGAAACCAAAGCUGCAGCUGGUUCUCAUGAGGUAUAUGCAAGCAUGGAUCGGUUGACCUAUUCUUACUUCCUGAACAUAUCGUUAUGUACUUUUUUGCACAUUUCUUUCUUAACUAUCCGCAUUCUGUAUUCUGCAGCAAGUAAAUUUAUCUGGAAUGGAAAGGGAUGCUCAGGAUUGCUCUUGGCGUAGCCAGAGGACUAGAAUAAUUCAUGAACUUACCAAUCUGCCUAUUAUCCAUAGAGACGCCAAGUCAACAAAUAUCCUUUUGGAUGACAACCUUAAAGCAAAGGUUGCUGAUUUUGGUCUGUCGAAGCUAGUUGCAGACACCAAAAAGGGUCAUUUGGAACCUUUUUUUUUUGUGAACGAACCAGCACAGUUUGCGCCAAUUUCAUUGAAUAUAGGAGGAGUAAAAGUUACAUGUACUGAUGUACAGAAAAGAAAGAACUGUACAAAAGGGGAAAGGCCUAAGGAAUUAAAAGUGCUAGGUGUUUCACUCCCGCUGAGGCCCUAGUUUUGGCUUCCUCCUUUUGGAACCUGAGACAUGACACAGCAGUUCUCACAGAAGAGUGAGCUGUACAGCUUUGGGUCUGUCAUGCUUGAGCUACUAAGCAGAAGGCUUCCCCUAGCGAAGGGCAGAUUUAUUGAUCGGGAAUUCAGGAUGGCAAUAGAUGCAAGCAACUACGACUACUAUGGCCUGCAAUGCAUCAUCGACCUAGCUAUUGACGACGCAACCAUCUGCUACAGAGUUUGAGCAUGCAGGGGCAACUACCGUGCACCCGUAUUUUGGUUUGGUGGUUGCAACCAGCACAAGCAGCAGUAAUACCAACAUGGUGGAAGACCCUUCCAACCCUGAAAUUAAGUAAUGAAAAAGCACUAAAAACUUCAGAAGGAAUCGCUCGAUUUCUCUCUAAGGCACGACGUUUUUUACGCACUAGUUUCCUUGAUCCUUGCUCCUAUUGCACACAUUGUUUCUCAAGGAAUCAAGGAUUACAAUUCCCAAAAUUCCCCAGUUCUCUAAAAUCAUAGGUCACCUUCCGAGUUCCGAAUAACCAACAGCGACCAGGAAUUCAUCCCGUGAAGGAAAAAAGAAAAACAAAUCAUUCACGAACACAUCGACCUCCAAACAACAUCACAGAAAUUCAUACUCCUAUAUUACUGAGUUUGAGCCCGACGCAGUUCGAAGACUUAGGGCAUGGAUUACACUAGCGAGAUUGCGAGAACAGGGAGAAAUGCAGCGCACCUGUGCGCCGCUCGCCGCUCGCGGAUUUCAGCGCGGGCUCGGCCGGCGGUGGCGCGGAGCGCCGUGCACUUCCGCCGCGGAUUCGGCUCUACUCCUCUCCACUCCACUCCCCCACCUCCCGUCUCUGCCUCUCCCCUCGCGCCGUCAGCUACUUCCCUGCGAGGGCUAGUGUG